UCUCAGUUCGGAUUGGAGUCUGCAACCCGACUCCAUGAAGCUGGAUUCGCUGUAAUCGCGCAUCAGCCACGGCGCGGUGAAUACGUUCCCGGGCCUUGUACACACCGCCCGUCAAGCCAUGGAAGCCGGGAGUGCCUGAAGUGCGUGACCGCAAGGAGCGUCCUAAGGCAAUACCGGUGACUGGGGCUAAGUCGUAACAAGGUAGC
RNAcentral lists this ribosomal RNA (206 nucleotides) under uncultured bacterium. RNAcentral's name for it is "partial 16S ribosomal RNA". It matches the Rfam family "Bacterial small subunit ribosomal RNA", at positions 1286 to 1500 of the family's 1533-position model. The record is from RNAcentral.